Molecule: ribosomal RNA, 433 nt
Filed under: uncultured bacterium
Lineage: Bacteria
Description: partial 16S ribosomal RNA
Rfam family: Bacterial small subunit ribosomal RNA
Source: RNAcentral
AACGAACGCUGGCGGCAGGCCUAACACAUGCAAGUCGAGCGCGCCCUUCGGGGUGAGCGGCGGACGGGUGAGUAACGCGUGGGAACGUGCCCUUCUCUGCGGAAUAGCCUCGGGAAACUGAGAGUAAUACCGCAUACGCCCUUUGGGGGAAAGAUUUAUCGGAGAAGGAUCGGCCCGCGUUGGAUUAGGUAGUUGGUGGGGUAAUGGCCCACCAAGCCGACGAUCCGUAGCUGGUUUGAGAGGAUGAUCAGCCACACUGGGACUGAGACACGGCCCAGACUCCUACGGGAGGCAGCAGUGGGGAAUCUUAGACAAUGGGGGCAACCCUGAUCUAGCCAUGCCGCGUGAGUGAUGAAGGCCUUAGGGUUGUAAAGCUCUUUCAGCUGGGAAGAUAAUGACGGUACCAGCAGAAGAAGCCCCGGCUAACUCCGUG